Molecule: ribosomal RNA, 253 nt
Filed under: uncultured bacterium
Lineage: Bacteria
Description: partial 16S ribosomal RNA
Rfam family: Bacterial small subunit ribosomal RNA
Source: RNAcentral
UACAGAGGGCGCAAGCGUUAAUCGGAAUGACUGGGCGUAAAGCGCACGUAGGUGGCAAAACAGGUCUGAUGUGAAAGCCCCGGGCUUAACCUGGGAAAGGCGUUGGAAACGGUUAUGCUAGAGUCGAACAGAGGGUAGUGGAAUUUCCGGUGUAGCGGUGAAAUGCGUAGAGAUCGGAAAGAACACCAGUGGCGAAGGCGGCUACCUGGGUUCAGACUGACACUGAGGAGCGAAGGCAUGGGGAGCAAACAGG